This 254-nucleotide ribosomal RNA is filed under the name uncultured bacterium. RNAcentral describes it as "partial 16S ribosomal RNA". It matches the Rfam family "Bacterial small subunit ribosomal RNA", at positions 524 to 776 of the family's 1533-position model. The record is from RNAcentral.
UACGUAGGCAGCAAGCGUUGUUCGGAGUUACUGGGCGUAAAGGGUGCGUAGGCGGUUGUUUAAGUUUGGUGUGAAAUCUCCCGGCUCAACUGGGAGGGUGCGCCGAAUACUGAAUGACUAGAGUGCGGGAGAGGAAAGUGGAAUUCCUGGUGUAGCGGUGAAAUGCGUAGAUAUCAGGAGGAACACCGGUGGUGUAGACGGCUUUCUGGACCGUAACUGACGCUGAGACACGAAAGCGUGGGGUAGCAAACAGG